GACGAACGCUGGCGGCGUGCUUAACACAUGCAAGUCGAACGGAAAGGCCCUGCUUUUGUGGGGUGCUCGAGUGGCGAACGGGUGAGUAACACGUGGGUAACCUGCCCUUGACUUUGGGAUAACUUCAGGAAACUGGGGCUAAUACCGGAUAGGAGCUCCUGCUGCAUGGUGGGGGUUGGAAAGUUUCGGCGGUUGGGGAUGGACUCGCGGCUUAUCAGCUUGUUGGUGGGGUAGUGGCUUACCAAGGCUUUGACGGGUAGCCGGCCUGAGAGGGUGACCAGCCACAUUGGGACUGAGAUACGGCCCAGACUCCUACGGGAGGCAGCAGUGGGGAAUAUUGCACAAUGGGCGGAAGCCUGAUGCAGCAACGCCGCGUGCGGGAUGACGGCCUUCGGGUUGUAAACCGCUUUCGCCUGUGACGAAGCGUGAGUGACGGUAAUGGGUAAAGAAGCACCGGCUAACUACGUG
RNAcentral lists this ribosomal RNA (468 nucleotides) under uncultured bacterium. Its description in RNAcentral is "partial 16S ribosomal RNA". It matches the Rfam family "Bacterial small subunit ribosomal RNA", at positions 28 to 507 of the family's 1533-position model. The record is from RNAcentral.